This 433-nucleotide ribosomal RNA is filed under the name uncultured bacterium. RNAcentral's name for it is "partial 16S ribosomal RNA". It matches the Rfam family "Bacterial small subunit ribosomal RNA", at positions 29 to 507 of the family's 1533-position model. The record is from RNAcentral.
AACGAACGCUGGCGGCAUGCCUAACACAUGCAAGUCGAACGAGACCUUCGGGUCUAGUGGCGCACGGGUGCGUAACGCGUGGGAACCUGCCCUUAGGUUCGGAAUAACUCCCCGAAAGGGGUGCUAAUACCGGAUAAUGUCUUCGGACCAAAGAUUUAUCGCCUUUGGAUGGGCCCGCGUUGGAUUAGCUAGUUGGUAGGGUAAAAGCCUACCAAGGCGACGAUCCAUAGCUGGUCUGAGAGGAUGAUCAGCCACACUGGGACUGAGACACGGCCCAGACUCGUACGGGAGGCAGCAGUGGGGAAUAUUGGACGAUGGGCGAAGGCCUGAUCCAGCAAUGCCGCGUGAGUGAUGAAGGCCUUAGGGUUGUAAAGCUCUUUUACCCGGGAUGAUAAUGACAGUACCGGGAGAAUAAGCUCCGGCUAACUCCGUG